Long non-coding RNA from Anastrepha obliqua, 1453 nucleotides. RefSeq lists it as uncharacterized. The record is from RefSeq and is a predicted model, not a curated record. The transcript has 3 exons. NCBI's taxonomy places the organism in Eukaryota, Metazoa, Arthropoda, Insecta, Diptera, Tephritidae.
UAUGUCUUACAUAUGGUGAUAGUCGAUUGUUUGGAGUCGGCUUUCUGCUGCAGAAAACCACCGGUUUGUGAAUUUUCAUACAUGUUUUUAUAGCAGCGUUUUUGCAAAUAUAACAGAGACCACCUUACAUACAAUACAUAAACUACAUUUUUAUUUGUAGGACUUCACAGACGAGCAACUUCUGCGGAAGGUGUGUGUUGAAGAGCUAGGCGGCACAACUAUUGUGGUUUUUAGAAACGAAAGCACGUAUGCGCGUAUUUCUACCAUUGUCUCAUGUGGUGCUACGAACAAUUUCAUAGGAGACAUGGAGCGUGUUGUGUAUGAUGGUGCAAAUACCUGUUUAACAUGUGACGGUUAUUAUGUGCCUAGUACUGCUACCUCUGAAAUGAAUUUGACUUCCGAACUGGCUGUCCACGUCGAUACCUUACCCCGUCUAGAACAAUAUGCUGUACGUAGAUAUAUGCGCAACACCUACACGAGCAAGUCCUCGCGCUUUAAGUCUACAAUUACAGAUAAGUUGUAAUGAUAUAUUUGUGAGUUAUUUUUAAGUUUUUGGUUUACAGGUUUUUGAUUUCUGCCUGAAGUAAGUGCAGCGUUCCAACACCUAUACGAGCAAGUGCACCCACAUUCCUCAUAUUUCCACUCUGAUUCAUUACUGAGACACGUGGUAUUGAUAUACGUAAAUUUAAAAACCAUCACAAUUACUAAAAGUGGAUUAUAUUACCAAUAUCUUAAAUUUUUCGAUGUAUUAGUUUUAGUUUAUAUUAAUACAUUUUCCUGUUAAUAUUAGGGACGCAAAGUAUAUUAAGGUAGACAAAUUUUAAACUAUAAACUAGUAAAUUUGUAAUUUUUAUUGCAAACUAUUUUAACUCUUCUAAUUUCAAUUUUUUUCUUAUAUUUAGAAAUGAUCGACUGAACUUCUGCUUUCGCAAUGUCUUUACGGUAACAUACUACAUAUAUCUACAUGUAUUGUUAUGUACGAAAUAAGAAAAAAAAAUUAAACUUUCUGUUUCAUCUCAUUCCUGUCGAUUAAGUAAAGCGUUUUUCAAUAGGUGCGCUUCAACUUUUUUCUGAUAGGGAGGGCGAACGACGCAAUAUUUUUUAUUUUUCGCUUGUCAUUUGUAAACUUCAUUAGUAUACAUUAAAUGUAUAUGUUCAAACUCGAUAAUAAAAAAAAAUUAGUUAAAAAAGUCAAACCGUUUGUGUUUUAUUAAAAAAAAAAGUUGAAGCGCUCUUACUGAAAAACGCUUUAUAUUUUGACCUUUGGUGUAUUAAAAGACUUGUACUAUUGUAGUAAAUUAAACACAUUAAAUUCCUUUAUUAUGACUAUUUUUUGUUCUCUUCCACAAAAUAUACUCAAAUCUAUUGCAAGAUUAUAUAUAUAUAUAUAUAUAUAUAUAUAUAUAUAUAUAAUUGGCGCGUACACGAGCUCUUCCUCCUAUUUGUGGUGUGC